This 601-nucleotide long non-coding RNA is filed under the name Triticum aestivum (bread wheat). RNAcentral's name for it is "long non-coding RNA (TAES_LNC006102)". The record is from RNAcentral. Lineage: Eukaryota; Viridiplantae; Streptophyta; Magnoliopsida; Poales; Poaceae.
GAGGGUGAGAAAACUGAAAACGGCCUGGCAGUCGAAUCCACAGUGCCACCUCCAGCAUCUUCAGAGGAAAAGAAAGUAGAGGCAGAUAGCACCAUCAAUCCGGCGACCCCUCCUCCAGCUGAGGUGAAGGCAGAUGCUCCAGCGGCAGAGGCAGCAAAAGCCACGGAGAAUCCAGCAGACAACGCCGUCCCCGAAGAACAAUCCGCCGCGAACGUCGACAACAAUGGACAGAUUCAUCCAGGUGUUUCUACCGUGAGGUGCACCUGAAGGUAGGUUUCCUGGAAGACAGGCGAGGCGAGGCGAAACGGGGAACAAACCUGGUCUCUGUUUGCUUUGAGAACUGUAAGCGUGUUUAACCUGACAGCGCCUGUAAUUGUAGGCCCUUUCCGCAUACUUCACAGCUUGUUGUCUUAUGAGGUGCUGCAGGGCAGCAGGCUGGCUUGUGCCGCCUCGGUCAUUAUUAUCAUUUGUAACUUGUUAGAGUGCACAUUAAUCUCAGGAGGACAUAGACAAUACUUAUGCUGCUGUUGUUGUAACCUGACGACCUUUAUGCCUUUGCCUUGUGUUGUUAUUCAUAAAUAAGCCAUGGAUGAACAUGUUU